UGUAUUUGCCUUUGAAUUUUUUGGAUUAUCACUCUGGUUAAAUACAUAAUUAUUUUGUGAGAAAAUAGGCUUGCUUAUGGAAUAUUCCUGGAGAAAACUCCAGUGAUAGAGGUGCUCAUUUUACUGAACGAGCUGCAAAAUAGUCAAGUAUUUCAAACACAAUCGCAUCCAGGAAUCUAACUGAAUAAAUUGGAUUGGCCAAAGGUAUUAUCACUUGAUGGCAAUCAGAUCCAAUCCCACUGGGGAACACUAAUUGACCCCUUACAAAUAGUCAUUGGAAGGCCUAUGCCCCUAAUAAUAGAACUUCAUGUAUCUCACAUUCAUGAAUUGUGACAUGACUCAAUAUUGCCAGGCUUUAAAGCAUGUUGCCCAGUUAUAUUUUCACCAGGUAAAAGCCCUUCAUGACCCAACAACAAUCUAACCAUGUACAACCUAGAACCUGAAGAUUGGGUCUUUGGAAAUUAUACCACAAAAAGACUGCUUUCGAAGUUUGUUGGAAGAGACCAUACCAAGUUCUACCCACAUGGCAGUAUAACUUAAGGGUCUCGAGGCUUAGAUCCACUUUUCUCAAUCUAACAGAACCCCUUCAGAAUCUUGGGACUGUAAACCCACUGAAGACCCCAAGCCCAUGGCAGACAUCCAGCUGAUCACACUGUGUCCACAUAAGGCAAAUGCUGAGCUGUAAUCCAUCAAGCUGUUUCCGCAUAGAGAAAAGGCCAUAUGAGUACACAGCCAGAAGGUGUCUGCCUACAAGACAAAGAGGGAAAACUUACCUGAAACCAACCCUGAUGGAUAUUGGAUUUCUAAGCUCCAGAACUGUGAGAAAAUUAAUUUUAUGUGCUUUAAGACACUCAAUUUGUGGUAUUCUGUUAUGGCAGCCUAUGCUAGUCAAUUUGCAUUACCAUAAAGCAACACCUGAGAGUGGGUAAAUUAUAAAGAAAAGAAGUUGAAUCGGCUCAUGGUUCUGCAGGCAGUACAGAAGCAUAGUGCUGGCAAUUGCCCCUGGCAAGGGGCUCAGGAAGCUUACAAACAUGGCAGAAGGCAAAGGGAAGCCAACAUAUCACACGUAAGCUCAGGAAGCUUACAAACAUGGCAGAAGGCAAAGGGAAGCCAACAUAUCACGUGGCGAGAAAGACAGAGAAGCGGUAGGUCCCAGACUCUUUUAAACAACAAGACCUCAUGUGAACUGAGGGGAAACUCACUUUCACCAAGGAGAUGGUGCUAAACCACUAAUGAGGGAUCUGUCCCAUGAGCCAAUCACCUCCCACCAAGACCUACCUCCAAUUUUGGAAAUUAUAUUUCAACAUGAGAUUUGGAGGGGACAAACAUCCAAACCAUAUCCCAGCCUGAGCAGACUAACAGAGUCUCUGAAUAAAUCUAUGAAAAUGACUAGAGUAUUAUUUUGUUGAGUGAUUUCUUCUUGUAUUAGGAUUGGUCUCCUUGAAAAUAUUUUUCUCAUAUCUGUUAUAAUAAAAUACUGAGAAUCAUACUAAUUCUACUCUAAACUUAGAUAUUUAAGAGGGUUGGAUUUGACUGAUUGCUCUGAUGUUGCUAACAUAGUCAAAGACUUUUCAAAACUAAAGUGUAAUAUUAUGUCAUGCAACCUUGAGAAAAUUACAAUGGACAAAGCAGAACUAUAAUUCACAAUUCAUCUCCCAAACAAAUUGUGACACCCCUUCUUUCCAAUCCACUGAAAUAUGCCUAAAAUGAGAAAAAAGGGAAAUCUUAAAAACAACAACAACAACAACAAAGAAAAAACAGAAAACGGCAACAUUCAGGCAAAAAAGAAUGUGAGGACUAUGAUGCUGGCAUGCUAAACUUAAUUAAUAAUAAAUGAGAGAGUUUGGAAUGAU
This 1853-nucleotide long non-coding RNA is filed under the name Homo sapiens (human). Its description in RNAcentral is "HSALNT0315892". Lineage: Eukaryota; Metazoa; Chordata; Mammalia; Primates; Hominidae. The record is from RNAcentral.